Centruroides sculpturatus (bark scorpion) is the source of this 192-nucleotide long non-coding RNA. RefSeq lists it as uncharacterized. The transcript is spliced from 2 exons. The record is from RefSeq and is a predicted model, not a curated record. NCBI's taxonomy places the organism in Eukaryota, Metazoa, Arthropoda, Arachnida, Scorpiones, Buthidae.
UUCAAAUACGAAAAUAAAUAUACUCGUUUGAGUCAUCGUCUAUCUUUUAGCCCGAGACUUGACUUUGUACUAGACGUUAUUAAAGAUGGUGGACGAUUAGCGGUUUGUAACGUGUAUAUAUAAGAGAAACAUUGCCGUAAUCCAACAGAAUCGAUUGGCACAAACCAUAAUUACGGCUUUGGUUUUAGCAAG